This 112-nucleotide small nucleolar RNA is filed under the name Otolemur garnettii (small-eared galago). RNAcentral describes it as "Small nucleolar RNA SNORA70 (ENSOGAG00000022998.1)". It matches the Rfam family "Small nucleolar RNA SNORA70". From Rfam's summary of the family: snoRNA U70 seems to be exclusive to mammals and is a member of the H/ACA class of snoRNA which contain H (ANANNA) and ACA box motifs. H/ACA box snoRNAs are involved in the conversion of uridines to pseudouridines (5-ribosyluracil) a constituent of structural RNAs (transfer, ribosomal, small nuclear, and small nucleolar). The record is from RNAcentral. Lineage: Eukaryota; Metazoa; Chordata; Mammalia; Primates; Galagidae.
AUGUUUCAAAAAAGAAAAAAAAAAGGUACAAUGGCUACAAAGAGCAGCCUCCUUGGUAGUGUAUGCAGUCUGUUGCUUAUAUAGGUUGCUCUAAGGGACCUUGAAGGUAUUC